CCUCGCAGACUACACAACCCUCCCUUUUCCCUGUUGCCAGCAAAAUCGACUACAGCGCUGCAAAGAGCACUCAGCGGGAUAAAUUGGCGUUACACAACUUUUCUUUGGCAAUUGUACUUUUAUAAAAUAUCUCAUGAUUUAACUGUACUUUUGUUGUACAAUUUUCCCUCAUGUUUGUAUAGAUUUUUCAUAUGUGACAAUUACCCCCUCAUUUGGAAAUAUCACAAUCUUGGGAUUAUUUAUUGAAAUUGUUGUACUGUUGGUAGUAAAACUAUAGCCUGACAAAAUAGUAAUUGAAUUUGAAAUUUUCUUAAGAGUUAACAAUCAUAUUGAUGUCCACUAUACAUAUACUAGGGUAGAUGUACCUUUAAUGAUGUGACCUGCCAGUUUCCACAAAAACUUUCAGGUUAUCAUCAUGUCACCACACCAUUGUUAUUCUGAGUUUCCUGCCUGUUUUGGUUGUUUUUGAACCAUGAUCUGCUGACUUCAGAACCGAAAAAAAAAAAAAACAUUGCCUUACCAAUAAUACAGAAAUGAAAUCGAGCAUUGAUCAAAACACAAACAUGAUCUUAUUCUUAGUCAAAAUAUCAUCAUAACAUAACUAUAUACAGCAUUACAUGGGGUGCUACCUCAUCAUGAUGAAUAACAUGAUUCUCAGUAUUCAAAUCUGUAAAAAAAAAACAUAAGUUAUCAGCUAUUUCAGUAAAGUAUUCAAUUAAAUACAUACAUAACAAAUAAAAUAGGUAUUUAUUCUUACAUACCUCUAGUUUGUAGCCAUUCGAGCCAAAUUUUCCUGAUUUCCAUUGUUAUUGCAAUCAACAUGAUAAUGCUUACCAUAACAAUGCCUGUACUCAAGGAAGUAUAAUCAGCAAUUGUCAUAAUAUUUGAAAUAUUUGACAAAAUGCUUUCAAUCAUGGAAAUUAUUUUUAAAAUUGCUUGAAAAUUCAUUGCAAUGCACUUUGCAAUAUUCAAAUAAUGAAUGAAUAAUAAAUGAAUAAUGAUGAUUUUGAAUAGUAAAUUUAAGCUUCUUUCUUUAUUUUUUUAUUUCAUCAUCUGAUUCUCAGAGUUCAAGGAGUACCCGGAUCCGCGAUUCUUACCAAUCUAAACAAGAAAUCUGGCAAUCACAAGAGUAUCAAACUCAUUACUGAUCUCAUUAUUGUGUAGUGGUGCUACUAAAAAAGUGUACAUUAAUUUUACUCAAUUUUCAACUCUUCAUUUGGUUCCUCCAGAAAGAGGCUAAAUACUGUACUCAAGUAACUGGCAAAAUAUCUGCCUGCAAAAAAAAAAAUAAUAAUAGGUCAAAUGUGACGAAGCCUAUCAAAAUUGGAAUGGCACCAUUGGGGUUAGGGUGCGUCAUGUUCCAUUUUUUUUUUUUUUUGUUGAAAUCUUGAGGUCUUACCCGCUAAUGUUGUUCCUUUAGAUGAUAAAAUAACACCAUAAACUUGGAUUUUUUAAAACAACAUAAAAAUAGCAGUUUAAAAAGGAAAAAUUUGGAACAUAAAUUUUUUCUUCAGGAAUGUGUUUGGAUGAACCACCUGAACUAUCAAAAAACAAACAAACUUUCUACCCCUAGAGCUAAUUGUUUUAGGAGGCUAAAACCGGUUCUGAUUCACAUUUUCUGCAAUUUACUCCGAAAAUAUUAGGUUUACAAGAAAAACUAGCAUGACUAAAAAUGUUCCCCUUCAAAUUCUCGACAAUUUGAUAUAACGUUCGAUGUCCAUCCCUCAAGUGGGGUGUCUGAAAAAAGGGGUGGAAAGAGUAGGUGUCUCAAAAAAGGUCAGUCCUAUAAAUCGAUCAAAGUUACCACUUUAAUAUCAUUUGUUUUCGCUUAAAUUUUUUUUACAAAGUCUACUCACCUAACUACUAAUUACACCACCAUUGAUUGGUCUUCAAUCCUCCCCGGAGGUUGAUGGGGGGGGGGGGAUGCUUGAUUUUUCAAGUAACGCACAACUAAAUCAUAUUUGAAAAACGAAUCUGGACAUGCGAUAUAUCGAAUAUGUAUGUCAAUAAAAAAAUUGCCUCUUUCUUGCAUCUUUGAUAAGACUCUGGGUUGCCUUGAAAUGGAAAAUUUGCAUCUAGGUGUAGUAAAAAAUAUGCAUCAUGGAAGAUUCGCAAAGAUAACUGCGCAAUCUUCAAUCAGGACCCAAAAAACCCUUUCAAGCAUAUCCAAUCCAUACCUUAUGUGAUGACGUGAUGAGUAAAGUCAUACUAUUUUUUUAAGGACAUACUCCAUCUAAGCUUUGAGGUAAAGAUUUUUGCCAUUAUACAGGGUGAUUCGGAUAAGACCUGAAAAAUUAAAACCACAUAAUAUUCUAGCGGUCGAAUUGAGAAAAAAUUUCCUUUGCAAAAAUUUUGAAAAACCAACCCUUAAUGAGAUAUUUGCAAUUAAAGUUGUGGAAAAUAUGACAACGCCGCAUUUACGUUUCGCCUAUUCAAAUCAGGGAAGCGUAACUACAAUUUCAUUUUCAUAUUUUUUACCUUUUUAAUUAGUUGAUUUUUUUCCAGCCAGCAAUUUCUAUUGUUUUUAGGAAACAAAAUCGUAAUUUACGGUGACAAGUUUUGCGAUGUUGUUAAAGUGAGCAUAUUGGUUGAGAUGAAUCACAUUUUAUUGACAAAUAGCAUUUUUUUAAAAGUAAAAGUAAUUAAAAUUGAAAAUUGAGUACAGGAAACCUUCAAAGUGAUUAGUUUAUAAAAAAUUACAGAGUUUGUCAAAAUUGAAAAUUUUAAUUAAGUUAUUCAGCAUCCAGUGGACCAAAAAAAGAGAAAUUAACGUUUAAUGAGUGUCGAAUGAGAAGUACUACCGCAUUAAUUAAUAAAAUUCAAAAUAAUUUAAUUUAACUUCAAGUUUUGAUUGUUUUUCAUGCGAAAACACAUUUCUGACUUCAAAACAUCAAGUUAUGGACCAAAACAGAAAAGAAUGAUACUCUACAUUUCUGAGAUCUCACUUCACUUUUACCACCACCUACCCACCAAAAAUUUCCAAUGGAGAUGCUGAAAUGGCCAAUUUUAAGAAAACAGCUGGCCCCUUUAAAGGUCAUUAACCCCGAAAUGAAGAGGUUUUGGUCCAUGGUGUCUAUAACAUUUUUUAAUCCUAUUCAUGAGUAGAAUACGUGGUUUUAAUUUUUCUUACCACACCAUAGCUCACCUGAGUUUUCUACCCAUUUGGUGAUUUUUGAACCAUAAACUACUGAAUUCAGAUCAAAAAAAAAAUGAACGUUUACUCACCUAAAUACCCAAAUAUCCAAACAAAAAAUCUGUCAAUCAAGAGAGUAAGUAUCAAAUUCAUUAUUGAUCGCAUUACCAUGUAGUGGUGUGGUUGAAAAAAUACGCAUAAUUAUUUAGUAAUACAUAGUAAUAACAUAACUAAUAUGAAUUAUUCAUUCUGAAUUGAUAUCUCAAUUCUCAACUCUAUAUUUUGUUUCAUGCAUGAAGGAGGCCAAAUACUGUAUUCCAGUACAUGGCAAACGAUUUACCAUCCAAUCAUCACAAUUAUGAUUGGUCAUGGAUGUGGUUACACCAAACUGUGACAAAAUUGUUAACACAUCCUCAAUCUUUUUAGUUGUAUUUUCUACAAAAUUCUUGAUGCACAUUUUACUACUAUGAAUGAUAUGGUCAUUAUUUCAUCACACCAUAAUUGUCCCAAGUUUCCUACCUAUGUGGAGAUUUCUGAAUGAUAACCUACUGACUUGAGAACUAGAAAAAAAAAACCAAAAAAAAACCAUUCCCUUAUCUAACAAGAAUGCGACCACUAUGAUUAUUGAUUAGAAUCCCUGCAGCCACAACCAGUAUGCUGCCAUUUACAGACAAAAUUGUACUAAUACUGCCCAAAUCAAUGAAUCAAUUCAUCAAUUGCCCAGCCUCAUCCUCUGCAGGACUCGGCAAACCCUUUCAAGCGUAUCCUAACAUUAUCAGUGAUGUAAAGGAGCCUACACUUACCUCCGGAUCCGCAAAUGAGCCAACUCUUACCUCUGGAUGCCUGCUUUGAUCUUUUAAGUAUGUGAACUGUUGCAACUGCUGUUAUCAUUGCAAUUGCAAAGACUGGUGUGCUUCCACACAAACUUUCCAACCUGUGGAUAACCUUGUCAAUUCCUCAAGUCACAUGUCUGUUGGACCUGGAAGACCUGGAAGGUUGACCAUGGUCCAGACUACAGUGACUGCUGUCACUGCUGCACCUGUCACCACUGUUGUGUAGAAGAACACAAUGAACCAUUUUUUUAAUACAGUAUAACAAAAAUGAAAACAUAUAUAAAUAAACUGUAAAUUGUUAAUAAAAUUAUUUAAUGGUUAUCCAAAUUUCCCUCACUUAAAUACCCUAACAAAAAAUCUGUCAAACGCAAGGGUAUCAACUUGAUUAUUGAUCGCAUUACCAUGUAGUGGUGUGACUAAAAAAAUACUAACAUUAAUCAUUUUAUUCUAAAUUGAUAUCUCAACUCACAACUCUUAUUUUGUUCCAUGUAUGAAGGAGACCAAAUACUCUGCCCUAGUACAUGGCAAAACAUUUACCAUCAAAUCAUCACAAUCACAGAUGUGAUUACACCAAACUCUGACAAAAUUGUUAACACAUCAUCAAUAUUUCCAAUUGUAUUUUCUACAAAAUUCUAGAUGUACAUUUUACUACUAUGAAUGAUGUGACCUACCAGUUUCCAUAAAAACUCUCAGGGUAAAACUUUCACGGUAUCAUUAUUUCAUCACACCAUAUUUCUCCUGAGUUUCCUGCCAUAUGGCAUAAUAUCUGCCUUCCAAACAUCACAAUAAUGAUGAAUAUUUCGGUCAAGGGAGUGGUGUAACCAAACCCUGACAAAAUUGUGAUCAAGUUCAAAAUUUUUGAAAUGAAGUUAUCAAAAUAUGUAGUUGUGGAUCAUCUUUAUGACCAUUAUAUGUAUACCAGGGUAAAUGUUUAUUGCCACAGAAACUUUCAGGUUGUUUUAAUUUCAUUGCACCAUUUGUUCCCUGAGUUUUCUGAUUGUCUGGUCAUUUUUGAACCAUGACUUGCUAACUUUAGAACCAAAUAAAAAAAAAAUGACGAUGAAAGUUUUUAUUACAUAGAUAACAUUUACUAAAAUAUACCUUCCGUGUCUGCAGAUGUUAUUAGACCUUUUUCUGGCGGGUACUUCAGUUAUGGAAAUGUUUUCAUUUACAGAAGACUUUAAUUGUUUUACUUUUUUUCUUAAAUAUUUUUUCAAAUUGUUGUAUUGCCACCAAAUAUUCCUCCUUUGUGGACUCUCAGAGAUAUACUCCAAUGAUGACGGUGGUGAUGAUACAGCACACUAAAAAAAUAAAAUGAAUACUUACUAAAUUGAGUAUAAUUGUAGAUACUGUGCUGCCAACAAGUGUUAAUAUUGUACUCAUUGAUCCAAGGCGAUUGAAUAGAUUAUUGAUUGUCCAGCCACAUCAUGCAAAGAUAAAAUGUAAUCAGGAUGAUUAAUUGAUUAAAAUUGGGGCAGUCACCACCGUGGUGCUGCCAACAACAGACAAACCAGUGCUAAUACUGCCCAAUCGAUGAAUCAAUUCAUCAAUUGCCCAGCCGGGUCCUCCAUGGGACUCUGCAAACCCUCUCAAGAAUGUCUGAACAUCAUUAGUGAUGAGUGAAAUUGUACUUUUUUUCAUGUACAUACUUGCUUCCAGCUUUGAGGUAAAGAUUUUUGCCACUUUAUUUUCCAAAAAAUUGAAGGGUCAUAUUGAUGUCCAUUAGUGAAUGUGACCUAUAGUUUCUAGGAAAACUGAGUAUCAUUAUUUCACCACACACCACACCAUAUGUAGUUCUCCAAAGUAUUCUACCCAACUGGUGAUUUUCAAACUGUGACCUGCAGUGACCUCAGAUCCAAAAAAAAGACACAUUCACCCACCUAAAUACCUAAACAAUAUUAAGUAAAUAAUGAAUAUUUUUAAUUUAAGCAGAAAAUGAUGUUCAACUAGAAUGUUUUCACUGGUGAUUAUUUACAAAACAUCACCUUCACAUUAAAACUGUGUAUCUCCAUUAAAAUAUUGUAUCUUUCUUGCAUCAUAAAUAAGACUCUGGGUUGUCCUGAAACAGAAAGUUUGCAUACAGGGUGUGUCGCAGGUAUAGAUUGUAUUUUAAAUCGUUACUGUGGCUUUAAAAAUCAAGUUUGGGAGGGGAGAUUUGCAGCAGCCGGUAGCCUGGAAUGCCGCAUUUCAUUUUACAGUAGCUGUUUUUCAAGACUGAAGAAUUGUACAUGUCAACAAUUUGUGCUUUUUGUAAACGUUUUUUAUCGUUCAAUCUCACUAACAGAUGUCAGGUGAAAAAAUUGUGUGUCUGUUGAUUAAAAAUUUCUGUGAGAAAGGUUUUGUAACCAAAACAAAACCUCCGGGUUUGAAAAAGACUGCUGGAAACACCACACAUAGAAAACAUUGUGUGCCUGUGUAAUGCUUUAAAAUACUUAAUUGACAUAAAAUCCACUGACAAAGGUUCAAACAACAACUUCACAACAACUGUUAUUGACAGGACAAUCUGGCCACAAUUCUCUCGAGUUUCCUGCCUUUCUAGUGAUUUCUGAACCAUGACCUGCUAAAAAAAACAAUAAAAAACUAAAGAAAAAACAUUCCCUUACCUAAAAUGAUUAAUGAAAUUGUUGUACUGCUGGAAGUAAAACUUGAAUUCGAAAUUUUCUCAAGAGUUAACAAACUUUUAUUGAUGUCCACUAUAAGGUAAGACCGCCUAUUAGUACGCGGUUAAGGUUUGAGACGCUCCAGCUCCCAGAGUUGUGCAUAAAAACUUAUGAAAUUUUGUACACAUAAACUUUGAACCCUUGGCUACAUAACUGCUUACUCACUUUUGAGUUUCCCAUUGCUGCUUUUUUGUAAUAACGCAAAAAUGAGGGCAACUCAAAUGCGUACUAAUAGGAAGGUACCUUCCUAUUAGUACGCAAACGUCCGCCUAUAAGUACGCAUGAGUAAAUACACGUUGAAAAUGGUAAACAAUCCAACAAAAAGCACUGAAAAAGUGUAAUGUCAUAUUUAGAGGGAAUUACUGUGAAAAAAACCAAAUUAGCAAUUCAAAUAUCCGAAAAAACAAAGUUUUCAGAUUUUAAAAAAAUACAUUUUUUUGACAUCAUAUUUUUUGUCCAUUUUUUUUGAAAUUAGCGUCAGUAUCAUGAUCAGACUUCAUAAUCUUGAACUUAGAUGGACUAAAUACCAAUUUCAGCUAAUUUUAUUCAUUUUAAUGCAAAAUGAUCAAAAAAAUGAAAAUUUACAUGCAAAAAUGAUGCGUACUAAUAGGACUUAGGAGGUGCGUACUUAUAGGAAGUUUUUUGCUCUGACAUAAAAUGAUGUCUAGCUCUAUAAUAAAAUAAUAUUUUCGAAAUGUCUUUUUUUUCAUAAGAAACUACAUAAAAUUACGGAUCGAUUGGUAUAAGAUACUUACCAAAUAACAUUAUUUUAAUAUGUUCAAUCUCAUUUCCCAUUUUGAUGAAAAAAAAAUCCAAAACACAGUUUUUCAUUCAAAUUGUUCUCAGAGACAGAGUUUUCAAUCAAACUGCGUGAUUUUUUCGGAGAAACUGGGGUCAUUAGUCAGCUACGUCAUGGUGUGGUCAAAUUUUCGAUCAGUGUUACCAAUCGCGAGAAAAACGCAAUGCGUACUAAUAGGCGGUGCGUACUAAUAGGCAGUUUUACCUUACAUAUACUAGGUAGAUGUACCUUUAAUGAUGUGACCUGCCAGUUUCCACAAAAACUUUCAGGUUAUCAUCAUGUCACAAUACCAUUGUUUUUCUGAUUUUCCUGCCUGUCUGAUCGUUUUUGAACCAUGAUCUGCUGACUUCAGACCCUCCAAAAAAAAAAAAAAAAAAAAAUCCCUUACCAAAAAUACCAAAAUAAAAAAUAUGAAUGAACUGCAAUUGUGGUCACAGUUACUGUCACCUUCAGGCAGAGAAUGACGUUCAAUCUGAUUGUUUUUACAGGUCAUUAUUUACAAAACUUCACCUUAACUCUAGAACUCAGUAUGUACAUAAAAAAAUUGUAUCCUUCUUGCAUCACUAAUAAGAAUCUGGGUUGCCCUGAAGUGGAAAAUUUGCAUCUAGGUAUAGUGAAAAUGCCUUAUGGAAGAUGCACAAAGCUAACCAAUGUUCAAUCAUGACUCAGCAAACCCUUUCAAGCAUAUCCGAACAUUAUCAAUGAUGCGUAAAAUCAUACUACUUUUAUGUACAUACUUGUUUUCAGCUUUGAGGUAGAGAAUUUUGCCUCUUUAUUUUCCUGAAAGUGAAGGGUCAUAUUGAUGUCUAUUAGUGGAUGUGACCUCCAGUUGCUAGGAGAACUAAGUAUCAUUAUUUCACCACACCACAGUUCUCCAGAGUUUUCUACCCAUCUGGCAAUUUUCAAACUGUGACCUACUGACUUCAGAUCUAAAAAAAUACACAUUUCAUCACCUAAAUACCCAAACAAAAAAUUCGGCAAUCACAAGAGUAUCAAACUCAUUACUGAUCUCAUUAUUGUGUAGUAGUGCCGCUAAAAAAGUAUACUUACAUUAAUUAUUUAAUAAUAAUGAUAAUCCCAACAUUAAUGAUGUUAAUCAAAAUCAGUAUCUCAAUUUUCAACUCUCUCCAUGUUUGGAGGAGACCUAAUACUGUUCUCAAGUACAUGGCGAAACAUCCGCCUUCCAAACAUCUCAAUAAUGAUGAGUAUUGUGGUCAAAGGAGUUGAUGUCAAUUAUUUACUAGUGUGAAUGUGACCUUUACUUGCCCGGUCAACUGAGUAUUUUAAUCACUCCAUAGUUCUCCUAAGUUUCCUACCAAUCUGGUGAUUUUUGAACUUUGACCUACUAAUUUCAGAUCCAAAAAAUAAUACACAUUCCCUCACCUGAAUACCUAAACAAAAAAUCUGUCAAAUGUAAGAGUAAAAAUCCUGUCAAAUGUGAGAGUAUAAACUUAAUUAUUGUUCGCAUUACCAUGUAUCUAGACAUUUUUGAACCAUGACCUGCUGACUUCAGAACCAAAUUAAAAAAAAAAAAAAACAUUCCCUUACCUAACAAAAACACAACCAGUAUGAUUAGAACCCUGCAGCUACCACAGGGGCGCUGCCAAUUACUGAAAGGAUGGUGCUCAUACUGCCCAAUUGAUGAAUCAAUUCAUUGAUUGCCCAGCCUCGUCCUCAGCUGGACUCUGCAAACCCUUUCAAGCAUAUCUGAAUAUUAUCGGUGAUGAGUAAAAUUGUACUUUUUUCAUGUACAUACUUGUUUUCAGCUUCGAGGUAAGGAUUUUUGCCACUUUAUUCAUGUUUAUUACAACCAUCGUGCCGAUCAGAAACCAAACACUGUAAACUGUGGUUAUCUUUGUAUUCAAUUUUUAACUAAUAAAUUAUAGAAAUGAAAAAAAGAAUUCUUCACUUAUAAUUAUUUUAUUGCAUUAAAAAAAAUACAUUUUUUAAUAAUCAAUUUAUGGUAUUACAUAUUAGAUAAAUUCUAUGUUUUUCAAUACAUAGAAUGGCUCAAGAUGCCCUUCUUUACUAUUUUGUACCAUUAUCGAAUCCAUUCUAUACCAAAGUCCAGAUUGACUAUACCUCACAUAACAUCUAUUCAGUAUUAAUAUUUUACACUGAUAAAAUAAACUCAUAAAUUUAAAACGGUUAAAUUCAUCGCCACACCGUAGUAAAGUAUUAUAUGUAAUCUUCAAACCCAAAAUCCAUAAACUUACAUCCUUCAAAAUACACAUACUUUGCUUGUUGACCAAAACCAAUUCUAGUACCUGAUAACUGACUUAUCGCUCCAACACUUAUAAAUGUAGGGUUUCAGUAUUUUAUUUUGAAUGUAUCCGUUACAUUUUCAUCAAAUUCUUUUUUGAUAAAGUUGUCUAUUUUUUGAUAAUUUUCGAGUUCUUCUAAAUUAUAUUCAGACAUUCCUCUCAUCAACAUUUCUUGUAGCCCAUCUACUUGAAAACAUUUGUUUAUGAUUGAAAUAUUGUUAUUUCGAAUCGUGCAGCAUUCAAAGAUUUUAUUUUUAAAAAACUUGAACAUGUAUCCAAACUUUUUCCCUUCAAUUUUUAGAGUCGGCAAACCAACUCACAUCUGCGUGGUUUAGGUUGGUGUAUUACUAUUUCAUUGUUGCUUUUGCCCAUAAAUAUGAGUUCAUUAGGAUGUACUUCAUUUGGAGGCAUUGCAUAAGCGCUUGUAAUAAGUUCUUUGUCCUUUGCAUGGUAAGAUGAGAUUCAAUGUUCCCAGCGUACAAUCUGUUGAUUAGAAGUCAUAUUACUUUCUUUCAAUUGAGAAACGUCAAAAACCUUGCAAUGUGUGCUGCCUGUCCACAGGUAUGGUGUCAAAGUUUGAUACAAUCUGGUUGAACCAGGAUUAUCUUUUCUGGUACACACUGCAUACAAGCAGUACAAUGAUAUAAUUUUCCCCAUGCUUCUGGAGAUAUUUUGAUUUUGUAAUUCAUACAUUCCAUUUCCUCUUCAUGUACUUCAUCGGAUAAGCUUGACUCAGAGCCCAAAUCAGUGUAAGAGAUUAAAUCAAUUUCCAUCCUGAAUUCCUCCCAGUUUUGAGUGACGUCAUUGUGGAGGCUCUGUGGUGUGAUAUUUUUCUUCAAUUCAAUUCAACACUGAUAAGAAGGUCCAAAUCUGGUCUGCUGAAAGCCACUGGGAAUAGUGGCGGCAUGUUUAGAAACACAAAAAAUUGAAUAAAUAAAAUAAAAUGUUGAUAAGUUACUUAUUUAAUAAAUGACACUUUAAUACCACUUGUUACACAAUGUACUAGAAAUGAGUUAUUCCAGUUAUUCAGUUGAGUACAAAGUAUUGCAACUUGCAACAUGUUCACAAGUUAGAACACAUCUGUAAUGAAAGGUACUUACCUGGCAAAGUGAAAUAUAUAAACACUUGAACGUGAACAAUAAUUUGUUGAAAAGCAUUGAAAUUUAAGUCGAAUCAAUGAGUUGAACAAAUGAAGAAAUUAAUUUCAGAAAUUUAUGGAACAUAGAUAAAUUAAAUUCAAAACGAAGUCCACAUCAAAUUCAGAAACACCUUGUAAAAUCGUAAAUGACGGUUAAAAAACGUUUAUAAAAAAUAAUGAAGACAUUUAUGUCUUAAAACUUGAAAUUACAUCUCAACAGCUCGUCUAUCGUUACACAAACUGAGACAUGGUGUACACAAGGAGGAACGAUAAGAUAAUGUAAUUACAGGGAAAUACCCGUGAGGUUUAAAAUGUAAAAUUAUUCAGUAAUUACAAAUUCAUAACCAUGUGGUUACACCAAAUGCUGACAAAAUUGUUAACGCAUCCUCAAUCUUGUUAAUUAUUGUAUUUUCUACAAAAUUUUCCAUGUACAUUUACUAUGUACUAUGAAUGAUAGGGUCAUUAUCUCAUCACACCAUAUUUCUCCCAAGUUUCCUACAUAUGUGGAGAUUUCUGAACCAUAACCUACUGACUUCAGAACUAAAAAAAAAAAAUAAAAACAUUCCCUUACCUAACAAAGUUGUUAUAUUAGAAUCCUUACAUACAACAGUGACAGCACCGUCCUUAUGCUUCCUAAUUGAUGAAUCAAAUCAUCGAUUGCCCAGCCUCAUCUUGCAAAGAUCAAACGUAGGUAACCAGGAUUAUUAAAAUUGGGCCUGCCAUCACCGAGAUGCUGCCAAUAACUGACAAAACUGUGCUAAUACUGCCCAAUUGAUUGCGCAGCCUCAUUCUCUGCAGGACUCUGCAAACCCUUUCAAGCAUAUCUGAACAUUAUCACUUAUCAGUGAUGAGUAAAGUUGUACUUUUUUUCAUGUACAUACUCGCAUUCAGCUUUGGGGUAAAGAUUUUUGCCACUUUAUUUUCCAAAAAUUGAAGGGUUGUAUUGAUGUCCAUUAGUGAAUGAGACCUCUAGUUGCUAGGAAAACUGAGUAUCAUUAUGUCACCACACCAUAUGUAGUUCUCCAAAGUUUUCUACUCAGCUGCAGGUGAUUUUUGAACUGUUACCUACUGACUUCAGAUUCAAAAAAAUACACAUUCCCCCACCUAAAUACCUAAGCAAUAAGAAAUCUGGAGUGGUGCCGCUAAAAAAGUAUACUCAUUAAAAUUAUCUAAGUAAAAUAAUGAAUAUUUUAAAUUUAAUUGACAUAAACUCCACUCACAAAGGUUCAAAAAACAACUUCACAAUAACUCUUGAUGACAGAACAGUCUAGUCAAAGUUCUCUUGAGUUUCCUGCUUUUCUAGUGAUUUUUGAACCAUGACCUGCAGAAAAAAAAACCAAAAACAUUCCCUUACCUUAAAUACUUACCUAACAUUCUGAUAAUGAUUAUUGCAACUGAUACUAGUCCAGGAAAAUUAGAUGAAAAAAAAGGGUCAUUGGGAAAAGUGAGGUAGAAAGCUGAAUUUUGGUAUUCAGGUCCAUUUUUUGGUGCUGAACACGAAUCCGAUGAGUCCCCGGUCGUCCCUGGUGAGCUUUCUCCCCUAUUGUGGAUCUAAGCCCCCCAAAACCAGUUUUUUGCAAUUUUUUCCCCCGCAUUGCAUUUUAGCGAAAAAUGAGGUUAGACACAAGAAUCUACGUCAAAUUUCCGAUCUAGUGACAUAUCAACUUUUCUUCUACCCUCAAGGGGGUUGGAACCACAACCAUUCAAAAAAGGGGGGUUCCCUGAAAAAUACAAAACGUCUAUAGGCGCCUAAGAGGGGUGAAAUGGUCCCCGACAGCGUUCGAGUUGAUAUUAGCAUGAAAAGUGGGUACCAUAGAGAAACCUCCGCGCAAAAAAUUUUAGAUCCACACCCCCUCCCCUUUUUGCGGAACCCUCCUUUUUUGAAAUUUCAGUAUCACUUUCCUCAGCCCCAUUUCAACCGAUGUUGGAAAUUUUCGUGGAGGUUAUGUAUAUGCUUGAUAGGUAACCCUACAAAAAUUUUCAACCCCCUCCCCUCAUAUUUACCCCCCAAAAUGGCGUUUUUUUCAUUUUUUUAGGCCUAUUAACAAUCAAGAUUGCGAGGUACAAUUUUGUAAACACGUUUUUUGGAUGUAUUUUUGGCCCCCAAACAUCAUAUACUAUAUUAGAAAUUUUUGCUUUGGUGCGCCGUGGUAAAAACUUGAAAUAAUGUAUCGUAGAGGGGUGGGGGGUGAAAUGGCAAUUUUGAAAAAAAAAAACAACUAUCAAUGAGUAGGGUAUCGUUUUCAUAUGAUUCGAUACCGCUGAGCACGAAUAUGACCUCAGAUUUUUUGCUACACUCACCUACCCCUCUCCAGAGCCCCUCAGCCCCCUCAAUUUUCACGAUUUUCGAAAUAAAGUUAUUUUGGUGAUGUUGGUUUCAUUGCUAUGGGAAAAUUACAUAAAUUCAUUGUUAUUGUACAUAAAAUUUCUCGUAGAAUGAGCUACAGCAGAUGGCUCCCCCUCGAGGGGGGUGGACCUUUCAAUUUUUUUCCACGCAGAAAACGUAACAAUCUGUAUGUGUACUGGACUGUAUAGGUAUGCGGAGCAUAUGUGGCAUAAUAAUUAUUCAUGAUAACUGUAACUUGAGUAUGUAUGAGUAUGCAUUUUAUAAUUCAAUGACUAGGUACCUACAUAAAAAAUCACAAGAAAAAAAUAUGGUAACGAAAUACUUAUAAAAAAAAGUAAAGAAUGUUAAUUUGUGAUUCACUUAAUCGUCAUCAUCACUAAUGUCAUCAUCUGUGGUAUAACUUUCGUCGCUGGAAUAGUUGUAAUCGUCAUUUUCUUUCGAAAAUCGUGAAAAAUGAGGGGGCUGAGGGACUCUGGAGAGGGGUAGGUGAUUGUAGCAGAAAAUCUGAGGUCAUAUUCGUGCUCAGCGGUAUCGAAUCAUAUGAAAACGACACCAACAUCAUCAAAAUAACUAUAUUUCGGAAAUCGUGAAAAUUGAGGGGGCUGAGGGGCUCUGGAGAGGGGUAGGUGAGUGUAGCAAAAAAUCGGAGGUCAUAUUCGUUCUCAGCGGUGUCGAAUCAUAUGAAAACGACACCAACAUCAUCAAAAUAACUAUAUUUCGGAAAUCGUGAAAAUUGAGGGGGCUGAGGGGCUCUGGAGAGAGGUAGGUGAGUGUAGCAAAAAAUCGGAGGUCAUAUUCGUGCUCAGCGGUGUCGAAUCAUAUGAAAACGACACCAACAUCAUCAAAAUAACUUUAUUUCGAAAAUCGUGAAAAUUGAGGGGGCUGAGGGGCUUUGGAGAGGGGUAGGUGAGUGUAGCAAAAAUCUGAGGUCAUAUUCAUGCUCAGCGGUAUCGAAUCAUAUGAAAACGAUACCCUACUCAUUGAUAGUUGUUUUUUUUCAAAAUUGCCAUUUCACCCCCCACCCCCCUACGAUACAUUAUUUCAAGUUUUUACCACGGCGCACCAAAGCAAAAAUUUCUAAUAUAGUAUAUGAUGUUUGGGGGCCAAAAAUACAUCCAAAAAACGUGUUUACAAAAUUUUACCUCGCAAUCUUGAUUGUUAAUAGGCCUAAAAAAAUGAAAAAAACGCCAUUUUGGGGGGUAAAUAUGAGGGGAGGGGGUUGAAAAUUUUUGUGGGAUUACCUAUCAAGCAUAUACAUAACCUCCACGAAAAUUUCCAAAAUCGGUUGAAAUGGGGCUGAGGAAAGUGAUACUGAAAUUUCUAAAAAGGAGGGUUCCGCAAAAAGGGGAGGGGGUGUGGAUCUAAAAUUUUUUGCGCGGAGGUUUCUCUAUGGUACCCACUUCUCAUGUUAAUAUCAACUCGAACGCUGUCGGGGACCAUUUCACCUCUCUUAGGCGCCUAUAGACGUUUUGUAUUUUUCAGGGAACCCCCCUUUUUUGAAUGGUUGUGGUUCCAACCCCCUUGAGGGUAGAAGAAAAGUUGAUAUGUCACUAGAUCGGAAAUUUGACGUAGAUUCUUGUGUCUAACCUCAUUUUUCGCUAAAAUGCAAUGCGGGGGAAAAAAUUGCAAAAAACUGGUUUUGGGGGGCUUAGAUCCACAAUAGGGGAGAAAGCUCACCAGGGACGACCCGGGACUCAUCGGAUUCGUGUUCAGCACCAAAAAAUGGACCUGUAUACCAAAAUUCAGCUUUCUACCUCACUUUUCCCAAUGGAAUGUUAUUUUUCCUGGACUAUACAUGCAGUGUAACUAUAGCCUGAAAAAUUGUAAUUGAAUUUGAAAUUUUUUAAAAAGUCAAGGAUCACAUUGAUGUCCAUUAUAAAUAAUAGGGUAAACGUACACUGUACAGGGUGUGUCACAGGUAUAGAAUGUAUUUUAAAUCGCUACUGUGGCUUUAAAAAUCAGCGGUAGUCUGGAAUGCCACAUUUCAUUUUCUGUUAGUAUUUGCCAGGAUGAACCAGCGGAGUGUUAAACAGCGCGCUUUUAUGGUAGCCGUUUUUCAAGGCUGUAGAAUUGUACAUGUCAACAAUUCGUGCUUUUUGUAAACGUUUUUCAGUUCAAUCUCACAAACAGGUGUCAGGUAAAAAAAACGGUUUGUCUGUUGGUUAAAAAUUUCUGUGAGAAAGGUUUUAUAACCAAAACAAAACCUCCGGGUCCAAAAAAGACUGCUGGAACACCAUCACAAUCCCCAAUUGAUUGCGCAGCCUCGUUUUCUGCAGGACUCUGCAAACCCUUUCAAGCAUAUCUGAACAUUAUCACUUAUCAGUGAUGAGUAAAGUUGUACUUUUUUUCAUGUACACACUCGCAUUCAGCUUUGGAGUAAAGAUUUUUGCCACUUUAUUUUCCAAAAAUUGAAGGGUUGUAUUGAUGUCCAUUAGUGAAUGUGACCUCUAGUUGCUAGGAAACCUGAGUAUCAUUAUGUCACCACACCAUAUGUAGUUUUCCAAAGUUUUCUACUCAGCUGCAGGUGAUUUUUGAACUGUUACCUACUGACUUCAGAUCCAAAAAAAUUACACAUUCCCCCACCUAAAUACCUAAACAAUAAGAAAUCUGGCAAUCUCAAGAGUAUCAAACUCGUUACUGAUCUCAUUAUUGUGUAGGUAGUGGUGCCGCUAAAAAAGUACACUCAUUAAAAUUAUUUAAGUAAAUAAUGAAUAUUUUUAAUUUAAUUGACAUAAACUCCACUCACAAAGGUUCAAAAAACAACUUCACAACAACAACUCUUAAUGACAGGAAAGUCUAGCCAAAGUUCUCUUGAGUUUCCUGCUUUUCUAGUGAUUUUUGAACCAUGACCUGCUGAAAAAAAAAAAACAAAAAAACAAAAACGUUCCCUUACCUAAAUAAAUACCUAUUCCAACAAUGAUUAAUGCAAGUGAGAAAUGUAUUGUUGAUAGCCUGAAAAAUUGUAAUUGAAUUUGAAAUUUUUAAAAAAGUCAAGGAUCAUAUUGAUAUCCAUUAUAUGGAUGUAUUUUAAAUCACUACUGUGGCUUUAGAAAUCAAGUUUGGGAGGGGAGAUUUGCGGCAGCCAGUAGUCUGGAAUGCCGCAUUUCAUUUUACAGUAGCCGUUUUUCAAGACUGAAGAAUUGUACAUGUGAACAGUUCGUGCUUUUUGUAAACAUUUUUCAGUUCAAUCUCACAAACAGGUGUCAGGUAAAAAAACGGUUUGUCUGUUGGUUAAAAAUUUCUGUGAGAAAGGUUUUAUAACCAAAACAAAACCUCCGGGUCCAAAAAAGACUGCUGGAACACCAUCACAUAGAAAACAUUGUGUGCCUGCGUAAUGCUUUAAAAUACCCAAAUGAUUAAUGAAAUUGUUGUGAAAUUGGUACUGUAGCUACAGCCUGAUGAAAUGGUAAUUGAAUUUGAAAUUUUUCUAAAGAGUUGAGGAUCAUAUUGAUGUCCAUUCCAUUAUAUACGGUAAAUGUACCUGUAACGAUCUGAGAGUAGGUCAAAUGUUUGUACAUUUUUCUGAAUCAGGUUGCCUUGAAGAUAACAUUUCUGGAGAUGGUGUGUCUUGUGGCAAAUUUUGUCCCAAUGUUAAAGAGCAGGAGUAUUCAACCCGCGUUUUAUUAUUUUUUUUUUAGUAAAAAUUAUUGCUUUAUUGGAAAUUGUGAAGUAUAAUUUGCUACCUAUACAUACAAAGCAUAUAUUAUUGAUAAGUAUUCUUCACAAAUUGAGUCUUGUUUUCCAUUGGUGCAAUCUUCAUGUGGCCAACUAAAGGUCAGCACUGUACUCAUAUGUAUUCAAAUCUAUCCAGCUGUGAUCUUUGUUACUGUGAUUGUUAUUCUUGUAAUUGUUUUUAUCUUUGUAGGUAUGUUUCUGUUGAGCAGCGUACAAUUUUUUUAAACUUGGAUUUGUCAGUAUUGUACCUACUAAAUAACUUUUUUAUGCAUCUUAAAAAUUUAUUGCUUACUUAUGUACCUGUAAAUUUUUGUUACGAGAAUUUCAAUUGUAUACCAACCUGUGUUAUUUUAAUUCAUUACAUUUUUGAAACUGAA
Planococcus citri (citrus mealybug) is the source of this 17226-nucleotide long non-coding RNA. RefSeq lists it as uncharacterized. Lineage: Eukaryota; Metazoa; Arthropoda; Insecta; Hemiptera; Pseudococcidae. The record is from RefSeq and is a predicted model, not a curated record. The transcript has 2 exons.